This is a long non-coding RNA of Mesocricetus auratus (golden hamster), 652 nucleotides long. RefSeq lists it as uncharacterized. The record is from RefSeq and is a predicted model, not a curated record. Lineage: Eukaryota; Metazoa; Chordata; Mammalia; Rodentia; Cricetidae. The transcript is spliced from 5 exons.
UCUUGGAGCAACUUAAAGCCUACGGCCAAAUGAUGGUUCUCUAAGACAGAGGAGUCAUUGUACAUCAAGGCGAGUUCUGAGUCUGAAAGGAGAGAAGCAACAUAUCACCAAGAAACAUUCCUUUGAGCUCAUCCUGAAUUAAGAUGUUCCAGUUUUCUAAGCAUCACUAGAAACUGAGCACACAUCUUAGACUGUAAGCUUGCAGAGGGCGAAGGCCUGCUUGCUGUUGCUUUGCCAACACUGCAGCUAUACAUUAAGGACAAGAACUAAGGAUCUCCUGUUGUUCUUGUGGCAUGAAGAUGGGGCUAUGCUAGCCGAGAUGACAGACACCCAUCACAGUCCCACAGGUGCCAGCCAAGGCCCAACUGUGUUUGGAGGGUUCAGAGAAGGAACAGAACUUGUCCCUGAUCUCCUUAAAAGGGGCUAUUUAAGGAUACAACCAUGGAUCUAAGUAAUCUUACAGACCUGACUUAAGCCUCUCAAGAGUCAUCCGACUAAAAUUCUAGAAAACAACCCAACUAGAAGUCAACAAGCCAGAUGUGUGCACACAAUGUCCACUGGGCCAUUUCAAAGAAGCAGUAUUAUAAACAGAUGGAUCCCCAAAUUGUUGGCCAAUUCUCACAAACAGAAUUCAUCAAAGGAUCUGUUGUUC